RNAcentral lists this ribosomal RNA (253 nucleotides) under uncultured bacterium. RNAcentral's name for it is "partial 16S ribosomal RNA". It matches the Rfam family "Bacterial small subunit ribosomal RNA", at positions 524 to 776 of the family's 1533-position model. The record is from RNAcentral.
UACGGAGGAUGCAAGCGUUAUCCGGAAUGAUUGGGCGUAAAGCGUCCGCAGGUGGCUGUGUAAGUCUGCUGUUAAAGAGUGAGGCUCAACCUCAUAAAGGCAGUGGAAACUACAUCGCUAGAGUGCGUUCGGGGCAGAGGGAAUUCCUGGUGUAGCGGUGAAAUGCGUAGAGAUCAGGAGGAACACCGGUGGCGAAGGCGGAUCUCUGGGCCUUACCUGACGCUGAGGCGCGAAAGCUAGGGGAGCGAACAGG